GCCAAAUAGAGCUGUAUUUUUAUACUGUACAAAAAAAUUUACACUCUUAAUGUAACUAGAUACAUCUAAGGGUAAAUUACACAUCUCUCAAACACAGUAUUUUAACAUCUAAGAUAUGUUUCUGCAUUGUAGACUGAUACUGAAUUUUAUACAUCUUUAUUUACAAUAACUUAAAAUAUUUUUUCAUCUCUGGCAGAUAUUUACAAGGUCAACAAUGACUACAUUUCACAUUUCAACAUCAACAGCAUUAAUCGGUUCAGUAAGACAGGAUAAUGGCUUACAUGCACCAAUAAAUAUGAUCUUAAAUUCACGGUUUUUUCUUCAGCUCUGAAAAAAUGAAGGUUGUCACUAGUCCUAGGUUGAAAGGACAUCACUCAGUACAAGUUGUAAUUUCUAUAUGCCUAUCCUAUUUAAAUUUUCACCAGCACUAUUCUCUAAAUACUUGGGAAGUUUAUACCAAGUUAUAGGUUGAUGCUGGUAAAAAAAAAAAAAAAAAAAAAAAAAAAAAAAGGCUGAUGUGUACAUUCCAUAUCCUUUUAUGAAGCAAACAUAUGAAAGUGAGAUAUUUCUUAUUUACUUGUCCAGUGUGAAAGCGAUCAGAUUACAUAAUGCCAAAGUAGUAAAAAUCCUUCAGAAAUUAUAGCUCAGGAGACCCAAAUUAUCACGAGAAAACCAGUGGGAAAAUAAUUUUUGCACCCUAAAAACUGUUUCACUUAACCAGUUAAACUGAAUGUAAGGCCAGAAUAAUUUUAGAAUAAGAAUAAAAAAGAUUCAAUGUCAAGUAGAUGAACUUAUUACAAAUAUUUUUAAACAUGGAGCAUCUCUCUCUAUUCAGUAUGGAUGAUAAAACUUACAAACAAACAAACCCCCUGCCCUACCGCCAAACCCAGACCUGUAUCAGUGAUUGUUAGAAAGCCAAUCCUCUCUUUCCAAGACAGCUAAUCAGUAUAUUCAUUACUUUUUAACUACUCCCUGCUAUAAAAAACAAUACAUAAAACCUGUUUGGAAUAUUAAUAUGCAAAUACAUUUCAUGAUUUCCAAAAAAAAAUUAUUUAACUUUUGAAAUAAAUUAUUUAGUUCUUAUUGGGCUAUACAUUUUAAAAAAUGAGUGUUUUAGCUUUUCUUAAUCCAAUCCUGUUUUUCUGCAAAGAAAAAAAACACUCAGAAUGAUCAUGGACAUAUUUAACAAACUUUACCAGUUUAACCAAUAUUAUACUUACAAUAAUUGCCACUGCCCUUUAAAAUAGGUACAUUUCCAUAAUGUCCCCCUAAAUUUUACUUAAAUGACCCACAAUAUUACACAAUAUACCAAUUUUAGGAGUUUCCCCCUUUUUAUUCAAUCCUGAUGAGUAGGAUUCUUAAUUUAAGGAGACAAGAAACUGUGCUAUGAGGAAUAAUGUUUCGACUUAGUCUUUAACGAGUAUUUUUGCUGGAAGUGUGAAAUAUUGACAUUUUUUGACAUAAGAAAACCU
Molecule: long non-coding RNA, 1472 nt
Filed under: Macaca fascicularis (crab-eating macaque)
Lineage: Eukaryota; Metazoa; Chordata; Mammalia; Primates; Cercopithecidae
Description: lncRNA (ENSMFAG00000060185.1)
Source: RNAcentral